Molecule: transfer RNA, 69 nt
Filed under: Marmota monax (woodchuck)
Lineage: Eukaryota; Metazoa; Chordata; Mammalia; Rodentia; Sciuridae
Rfam family: tRNA
About the family: Transfer RNA (tRNA) molecules are approximately 80 nucleotides in length. Their secondary structure includes four short double-helical elements and three loops (D, anti-codon, and T loops).
Source: Rfam by way of RNAcentral
GCAUGUAGCUCAGUGGUAGAGUGCAUGCCUAGCAUGCAGGAAGCCCUGGGUUUGAUCCCUGGCACUGCA